AUGGCUCAGGAUGAACGCUAGCGGCAGGCCUAACACAUGCAAGUCGCGGGGCAGCACGGGUAGCAAGUACCUGGUGGCGACCGGCGCACGGGUGCGUAACGCGUAUCGCAACCGUGCCCCCAUCAGGGGGAAUAGCCCGCCGAAAGGCGGAUUAAUGCCCCAUAGGCCCAGGGCGCCGCAUGGCGCUAUGGGUAAAGCUCCGGCGGAUGGGGAUGGGCAUGCGUGCCAUUAGCUAGUUGGGGCGGUAACGGCGCACCAAGGCGACGAUGGCUAGGGGGUCUGAGAGGAUGGUCCCCCACACUGGUACUGAGACACGGACCAGACUCCUACGGGAGGCAGCAGUGAGGAAUAUUGGUCAAUGGGCGGAAGCCUGAGCCAGCCAAUGCCGCGUGCAGGAUGACGGCCCUACGGGUUGUAAACUGCUUUUCCCCGGGAAGAAUAAGCCCCUCGUGAGGGGUGAUGCCGGUACCGGGGGAAUAAGGAUCGGCUAACUCCGUGCCAGCCGCCGC
This 509-nucleotide ribosomal RNA is filed under the name uncultured bacterium. RNAcentral's name for it is "bacterial SSU rRNA". It matches the Rfam family "Bacterial small subunit ribosomal RNA", at positions 19 to 518 of the family's 1533-position model. The record is from RNAcentral.